GAAUAAUCGAUUAUUCGAAUAUUCGAUUAUUCGAAUAUUCGUUCGGUGGGUUGUCAUUCGAUUUUCAAUUUUGAGAUUCGAAUAUUCCUUUUUUUUUGUCUU
Long non-coding RNA from Sinocyclocheilus grahami, 102 nucleotides. RefSeq lists it as uncharacterized. The record is from RefSeq and is a predicted model, not a curated record. The transcript has 3 exons. NCBI's taxonomy places the organism in Eukaryota, Metazoa, Chordata, Actinopteri, Cypriniformes, Cyprinidae.